RNAcentral lists this long non-coding RNA (1826 nucleotides) under Marmota monax (woodchuck). Lineage: Eukaryota; Metazoa; Chordata; Mammalia; Rodentia; Sciuridae. The record is from RNAcentral.
UUUCAGACUUUUAGAAAAAGAAAAUAUUAAAGACAAAGAUCUGUUGUAAUCAUUUGUAGAAUUAAGUAAUCCUACAUCAUCUAGUCCAAUCAGAAACAUGAUUUAUAAAUGAAACAUCCUUAUGCAUUUCUUUCUUAUAUCUAUCUAAACGUUUAUAUGAGUUUCUAAUUUAGAGAUGAAUUGUUACCUCAUCUGAAGAAUGCAUUUACUUCAAUAAAAUCAGAGGCUUCACAGAAAUUUUAUAAAGCAUGUUGAAUAGUGUCAUCUAGAUGCUAACAUGUUAUUCCUUCGUAGUAGCUACUUCACUAUAACUACUUCACAAGCCUCCUUUAUCAGUGAUAACACAUGAUCUUGACUUUGCCCUUAAUAGAUGUCUUAAAAAUAUGUUUCAUGAAUCAAUGAAAAAAAUGUCAUUUGUUAAGUAAAACAAAGCACCACAUUAUCUUUAUUUUCCCCAAUGAAAAACAUAGAAGGUAAUUAAGUGAAACUUUAGAAGCACGCACAUGCCAUAUGCAGACAUUUACAACCUAAUUUCCAUAAAUCACUGUUUAUACUCAAGGAGGUUUUGUUUUUAUUUUUUGUUAUUUGUUCGUUUAGUGUUAUUGAGUGAGGAACUCAAACAGUAUGUGUUAAAUUAAAACAAAUUGCAUAGGGGUAAGUGUAAAAUAUAAUUUAAAUAUAAUAUAUAUAGAAUGACUUGUUUUUAAAUUUACAAUUGUACAUCUAUGUAAUUCUUAAAAAUUUAUUGUUGGAAACUGUCUUCCCAAAUGAUACUCUUUCGAACACAGUUCCCUCUUAGGCUGAUAUGAAUUAUUUGGUGCUAGAAGAUGUGCCCUCUCUGCGUACUGUGAUGAUCAUCUUUCUUCCAGAUGUUCACACCAUCCCUCCUUACACAAAACAGCCCCAGGACAAGAACCUUGUCAGAGAUUUGGAAAGCUAAUAAAAUAUCCAGGCUCUGGUGCUUUCUACCAAUAGACUAAACCAAGUUGAAAUGGAUGGUCCCCAGGUCCCUUUUGUCUCUAGGAGCCUAUGCUUCUCUUUAACUCCAUCAUUAAAAUCUGUGCCUCGCAAUUUAUUGCCAACCCAAAAUUUGCAAUAUUGUCAUAGUCUGGGAUUCAUGAAUGGUCAUUGUAAAAGACAAAAUGUCUGAUGUCAUGAUUCAGCAGUUUACAUGUAUCUCAAAUUUAAUUUUCUGGAGUGAGUUUUAUCAUUUUAAUGUGGCAGAGAAUUACAUUGUAGGAAAUAUAAAACCAGUAUUGUUCACCUCCUUGGGGAGAACACAAUCAAAAAUAGGAAAUCAAGCCUACCUCUGAAACAUUUCAUUUGUUCAUUGAAGGUAAUAUAUUAAAAAAAAAAAACAAAAAAAAACAUACAAGCCUAGAAUUCAUAGAGAUCUGAGGCCUUAGCUCCUGGCAUACUAUCUUCUUUGUUUUCACAUUUGGGGACAGGACAAUUUACAUUUUGCAGGUCCAAUUUUACCUUUGGAAGAUGGAGAGUAUAAUAACCAUUCACUUUUGUGAUGUGAAGAAUGAUACAAAACGUCAGUGUGUGUCUGGCUCAUAAGAGGUUCUUAAAAUUUCAUCUUCUUUCUUUCAUUUGCAUUACAAAACAAAAAAAUUGAUUAAGACUAAGAAAACUUAGUAUAGGUGUUUGAAUAGACUUCCAUUUAUUCCUAACUCCUUAAAUGAUGCUUAAAUUUUUAAUCACAUUUACAAAGUCUUGCAUAACUCAUAGUAUUAUGGAAGAGUAGAGAAUGGAUUAAAUGUGGGCAAAAAUAGUUAAGAAUCUCAGGUGCAAUGCAUAUUGAAAAUUUAGAAGAAAUCUAU